AGGCUGCAACCCGCCCUGCAUGAAGCCGAAAUUGCUAGUAAUCGCGGAUCAGCAUGCCGCGGUGAAUACGUUCCCGGGCCUUGUACACACCGCCCGUCACACCAUGGGAGUCGGUAACACCCGAAGCCAGUAGCCCAACCGCAAGGAGGACGCUGUCGAAGGUGGGAUUGAUAACUGGGGUGAAGUCGUAACAAGGUAUC
This 200-nucleotide ribosomal RNA is filed under the name uncultured bacterium. Its description in RNAcentral is "partial 16S ribosomal RNA". It matches the Rfam family "Bacterial small subunit ribosomal RNA", at positions 1302 to 1500 of the family's 1533-position model. The record is from RNAcentral.